AUCACAGCCAUGUCAACAGUGGGCGUCAGGCUUGUAAGAGACAUGAAUUAUCUGUGAGAUUCAGUGACCAAGGCUAGAAGGUGAGAUUCCAUCUCUCAACUGCUCAUUGUACUGAAUAGAUAAUCAUGAGCUAACAUUGUACGACCUUAUUUGCUGUAACAGACAGUUAGUAUUUUAGGGAAGCAAGGCAUUUGUGUAGGAUGUGCAUUGUAGACUAUGUUCUUUGCAUUCUUUAUCAUGUAUUUCUCAUAGAAAGAGUCUGUUCUAGUCAUUCAUCUAAUCUUGUCAUUCAAUUUCUAUGGUAUUUCUCUCCAUUAGGACUGGGUAUUGGCUCCUACGGGUUACUCUGCCUUCCAAUGUGAUAGAGAAUGCCUCUACCCUCUGUGUUCCUGCAUAAACUCCACCACCCACACUAUGAUCCAACUAGUGGUGAGUUGAACCUGCCUGUGGGUGCAGUGGGGAUAUUCCUGGGAGGUCUACUGAUGAAGAGGUAUAAGCUUGGCGUUGUGUCUGGAGCCCAGCUGUCUUUCGUCACCUCCUUCAUGGCCUACCUCCUCCUCCCUCUGCAGUCUGGCACUAAGUGUGACAACGUUCAGGUGGCUGGUCUGACCGUGUCCUACAACGGGUCCCCUGGUGUACGAUGGCAGCCUGUUGUCAGAGUGUAACAGAGACUGCUCUUGGCUGGGGAGUGGGACCCUGAGUGUUCAGACAACGGCAUCACCUACACCUCCCCCUGCCUCGCAGGCUGCUCCAGCUUUACAGGUUACGGCAAGAACACGUACCAAUACUGUUAAUGUACUGAGUGUACAAAACAUUCACAGGGAUGCUGGCCCAUGUUGACUCCAAUGCUUCCCACAGUUGUGUCAAGUUGGCUUUAUGUCUUUUGAGUGGUGGACCAUUCUUGAUACACACAGGAAACUGUUGAGUGUAAAAAAAAACAGCAGCGUUGCAGUUCUUGACACAAACUGGUACCCCUGGCACCUACUACCAUAACCCGUUUAAAGGCACUUAAAUAUUUUGUCUUGCCCAUUCACCCUCUGAAUGGCACACAUACACAAUCCAUGUCUCAAUUGUCUCAAGCUGUACAAUAUAUUUUUUAAACCUUUCCCCUCUUUAUCUAUACUGAUUUAAGUGGAUUUAACUAGUAACAUCCAUAAGGGAUUAUAGCGUUAACCUGGCUUCAUCUGGUCAGCAUAUGUCAUGGAAAGAGCAGGUGUUCUUAAUGUUUUAUACACUCAGUGUAACUCAUUGGCACUGAAAUUAGCUAUUUUCAACCAUUAACUGGGGCCUUGUUGAGGCCUUAUCUAAGUAAGUAAUUGCUGAUUGACAAAGUAUUAUUUUGAUGUAUGGAAAAAAAUAUAGUAUGCAAUUCCUAUGUAGAGAAGGUUCUCUCUGGUAGUUGUUCAAUAUGACUUCAGCUUUUACAGGGCACUGUGGUAAAAUGGAUGUUUAAUCUCAGUGUGACUCCCUGUUUAAAUAAAAUAAAAAAACAUCAACACAAACACAGGAUAUGGGGUACACAUGGUAUCACAUCAUUACAUACUAGGCCCUACUGCACCUGUAUUCCAGCACCAUUCCAGCAUCUGGAAUUGACUCAACAUGUUUUAGGUGGAGGAUCAAUACAUGUGGGGGAAGAGGUGGCUGUCGAAUGUAUGAUUCUGAUAUGUACAGGUAAGUUCAUUGUGUGUGUGUAUGGGGGGGCGUCCAUGUUUGUGUCCAUACUCUGAGGUGUGUUUUGAAUAUGAAUGAGCAGCAGUGUUGUGAUGUGUCCUAUCCCGUCCUUGCAGAGUGAUCUUCCUUGGCCUCAUCACAUGUCUCAGUGGCUCCUCCUGAGGAGGGAUGGGGACACCACUAUGGGCUGAUUUCAAGGUUUUACUGCUAACCUACAAAGCAUUACAUGGGCUUGCUCCAUGACAUCUCUCUGAUUUGGUUCUGCCGUACAUACCUACCCGUAUGCUACGGUCAAAAGACACAGGCCUCCUAAUUGUCCCUAGAAUUUCUAAGCAAACAGCUGGAGGCAGGGCUUUCUCCUUUAGAGCUCAAUUUUUAUGGAAUGGUCUGCCUACCCAUGUGAGAGACGCAGACUCGGUCUUAACCUUUUAGUCUUUACUGAAGACUCAUCUCUUCAGUGGGUCAUAUGAUUAAGUGUAGUCUGGCCCAGGAGUGUGAAGGUGAACGGAAAGGCUCUGGAGCAACGAACCGUACCGCCCUUGGUGUCUCUGCCUGGCCGGUUCCCCUCUUUCCACUGGGAUUCUCUGCCUCUAACCCUAUUACAGGGGCUGAGUCACUGGCUUACUGGGGCUCUUUCAUGCCGUCCCUAGGAGGGGUGCGUCACUUGAGUGGGUUGAGUCACUGAUGAGAUCUUCCUGUCUGGGUUGGCGCCCCCCCUUGGGUUGUGCCGUGGCGGAGAUCUUUGUGGGUUAUACUCGGCCUUGUCUCAGUAAGUUGGUGGUUGAAGAUAUCCCUCUAGUGGUGUGGGUCUGUGCUUUGGCAAAGUGGGUGGGGUUAUAUCCUUCCUGUUUGGCCCUGUCCGGGGGUAUCAUCGGAUGGGGCCACAGUGUCUCCUGACCCCUCCUGUCUCAGCCUCCAGUAUUUAUGCUGCAGUAGUUUGUGUCGGGGGGGCAAGGGUCAGUUUGUUAUAUCUGGAGUACUUCUGUCUUAUCCGGUGUCCUGUGUGAAUUUAAGUAUGCUCUCUCUAAUUCUUUCUCUCUUUCGUUCUCUCUCUCGGAGGACCUGAGCCCUAGGACCAUCCCUCAGUACUACCUGGUAUGAUGACUCCUUGCUGUCCCCAGUCCACCUGGCCGUGCUGCUUCUCCAGUUUCAUCUGUUUUGCCUGUGGCUAUGGAACCCUGACCUGUUCACCGGACGUCCUACCUGUCCCAGACCUGCUGUUUUCAACUCUCUAGAGACAGCAGGAUGGUAGAGAUACUCUUAAUAAUCGGCUAUGAAAAGCCAACUGACAUUUACUCCUGAGGUGCUGACUUGCUGCACCCUCGACAAGCACUGUGACUAUUAUUAUUUGACCAAUCUGGUCAUUUAUGAACAUUUGAAAAUCUUGGCCAUGUUCUGUUAUAAUUUCCACCCGGCACAGCCAGAAGAGGACUGGCCACCCCUCAUAGCCUGGUUUCUUCCUAGGUUUUGGCCUUUCUAGGGAGUUUUUCCUAGCCACCGUGCUUCUACACCUGCAUUGCUUGCUGUUUGGGGUUUUAGGCUGGGUUUCUGUACAGCACUUUGAGAUAUCAGCUGAUAAAAAUACAUUUGAUUUGACAGACCCCACACUCAUGUCUAGAGAUCGAACUUCAGACUCCCUCCAAAACCACUGAACCCCUCAACACACCGAAAGAGAUUACGGUGCACACCCUUAGAGGGAGCCGGAACAGGAUAACUCCCUCUACCAUCACAAAGACACAGAGGAGGAGGAACUAUCCAACACCCAGGGAGAGAGAACGAGUGACCUCAGUCGAACACAGUCAGAAAGAGGAGGUGGAAGAGGCAUUAGAUAGAGGGGGAGGUUACCCCAGAGGCCAUUCCUCCUGUUCAUGUGAGUAAGAAAGAGCAGAAGGCUUCUGAUCAGCCAAAUGGCAGGCAGAGGGAGAGCUCAUAGUGAUUCACACCCACAGAGAGAAAGACAACCCACACAACCUCUUGGUUGAGAUGAACCGCACAGAGGCACAGGGCUAGCCAGUCAGCCUGCCUGCUCUGAUCCUCAAGUCAAUUGUAUUUAAAUUCAUGUUAAUUAAAGAUUUUUAUUCAAG
Long non-coding RNA from Oncorhynchus mykiss (rainbow trout), 3755 nucleotides. NCBI's taxonomy places the organism in Eukaryota, Metazoa, Chordata, Actinopteri, Salmoniformes, Salmonidae. The record is from Ensembl.